CAUCAAUUUUAAUUCUCUGGGUGGUUAGAAAUAGGAUUUUAGUUAUUUAGUUAUUUUCCUAACCUUAUUGCAUGUCAUAUAUUUUGAUGGAGUCCAUGUAUGUCUGUGAAUGUAUGAAAGAGAAAGUGUUUAUGUGUGAGAGUUUUUCAUGUAUUAGGUGCCCUGUAAUUGUACUGAAAUGCUUUUGUCGAUAAGCAGAGCUUCAAAACUCAGUGUGGUUCUUGGACCAGGAGCACUGGCUUCACAAAGGAUUUGUUAGAGAUGUGGCAUUUUGGUAUCCAACCCAAAAGUACUGAAUGAGAAUCUGUGUUUUAACCUGAUCCUCUAGUAAUUUGUGUGCACAUUAUCGAGAAGCACUGCUGUAGAGCACUGUCCCUGCUACUGUAUAAUAGGUUAUAGUCAUUGUUUUCAUCACUUUCUCUUUCAUUUUGAACAACAUCAUAAUAUACUGACCUGCCUAUGUUUCCUCUAGACUAUGAUGCCUAAAUUCUCAGCAGUCCGUUCAUUCCUAGUCUAAGUUAUUUUCAUUAUCACUAUGAAAUUAUAAAUACAAAUAGUAUUUUUCUUGGGCACUUCCCUUAUAACAUGGGGUUUCAGAUUUUGAAUACCCUUUGUUAAGAUCACAAUAUAUUUUGGUUAAUUCAAUCUCUAGUUACAUGUUGCCUCCUGAUCUUUUGGAUUCAAACUAUACUUUUUAAACUAAUUUGACUCUGCGUAUCCUAGGGCAGGCUAUUUAUCUGUAUGUGUCUAGCCUUUUUAGCUAAUUCCACUAAAAAAUUAUUCACCUCAGACAAGAAACAAGUUAAUUAUUCUACUGAUAUAGUUUGCUAUUUCUAUUUUAACAUUCUAGUUCCUGGGAUAUGGUGGGGAAGGAAGCUUUGGGAUUAAACCCCUUUUCUACUCCUUUCAAUCUAAAUAGCCUUUGGCAAGUUUCUUAAAUUCUUAGUGCUGUGUCUUCAAAAUUGGUAUGGGGAUAGAUCUUGUUUUGAGGGGGAAAUGAACUCUGUAGAGCACCUAAAAGAGAACUUUGCACACAGUUGGUUCUCAAAUACAGCAGUGCCUUUUUCCUUUCCCCACACAGUUGCAGAAAAAUAAAUAAGAUGUCUAAGUUUCUCACAUUGCUGGCUCAUCCUAAACUACUGCCUCCUUGGCAGACAAAGAUUUUGAAGCUUCAGCUCUUUCCUGAUUGCCAUGUCUAGACUCUACAUUGCUGUUCAUGACCUGGAGACUCCUUUACACACUGAGAUUUUUCCCCAGCUUUCUUGAAUUCUGAAAGGUGGCAGUUAUAAGAGGCAUGAAAGAUCCUUUUGCUCAGACACUUAAUGAACAUAAGGAACUAUGACCAAGAGCAGUCUGCUUAAGAAGGUAAUGAGAAACUUAUCCAUAUUUGCAUUUCCUUUCUGGCUGUAUUUCUCCAGUCUCUAUAAGGUUCUAGCAUGUGAAGAAUUUCUGUCGGAUGGCAGGAUGAAUGUUCUUUAACUUUUUUUUUUUUUAGGGCUUCACCUGUGGCAUAUGGAGGUUCCCAAGCUAAGGGUCGAAAUGGAGCUGUAGCCACCAGCCUGUGCCAUAGCCACCAGCCUAUGCCAUAGCACAGCAACUUGGGAUCUGAGCUUCGUCUGCAACCUACACCAAAGCUGACAGCAACGCCAGAUCCUUAACCCACUGAGAGAGGCCGGGGAUUGAUCCUGUGUCCUCAUGAUUACUAGUCAGAUUUGUUUCUGCUGAACCACAGUGGGAACUCUCCUCCUUGAACUUAUUGAUCAAAGAACAAUAGACCUUGAGAAUGAUUUGAGAUUUGUAUGCCAGUGACUUUAUUCAUCUGUUUUAUCAUUACAAAUUUUAAUAAUCACUUAGUAAACAAUGUUUUAAAUGUCAUGAGGAUGAUAAAAUGUCAAAUCAGGUUCAUCUUUUCAUGGAGCUUAAAUUCAUGUGAGGAAAAAAUAACAAAUUAAAAGACAAAAGUCCUAACUUCAGAAAUGUUAAGUCGUAAGGAAAAUACCAUAAGGUAAUGUGGUAGAUUUUAUACAAAAAUUCUCCUAAGUCUCUAUCUCUCCCUAUAUCAAUGCAUUUUGCAAUAUGACUUUGUAGUUCCUCCCAGAUAUGGUCUUUUUGGGGGUUCCCGUCAUGGUGAAGUGGAAAUGAAUCUGACUAGGAACCAUGAGGUUGCGGGUUUGAUCCUUGGCCUUGCUCAGAGGGUAAAGGAUCCAGUGUUGCCGUGAACUGUGGUGUAGGUCAUAGACACGGCUCAGAUCCUGUGUUACUGUGGCUGUGGCUUGCAGCCGUAGCUCUGAUUAGAAUCCUAGCCUGGGAACCUCUAUAUGCCACGCAUGCAGCCCUAAAAAGACAAAAAAAAAAAAAAAAAAAAAAGAGAGAGAGAGUAUGGUCUUUUUGUCACCUUUCAACUGGUUGGCUUUGUGACUUGGUUUGGCAAGAGAUUAUGACAGAGAUGAUGGUAUAUCAGUUCUAUGAAUGGGCCUCAGAACCUCUUCCACUAGCUCUUUUGAGCAAGCUUGGACCUACCAGGUGGAUAAUAAGUAUAUGGCCCAGCAGCAUUAACCCAUGCAUCUGCUAGCUAACCAAUAGAUAUGUGAAUGAAAUCAUCCUAAAAUAGUCAAUCCUCCAGCCAACAUACCAGCUCCUGCAGGAAAGAACCUAGUCAAGAACAAAUGAAUCUGAAUGGUCUCGAUGAAUAGAAUUACUUAUUCUCCAAAUCCAUAGAAUUAUCCAUAGACAUGUGGGAAAUGACAAAUAUUGCUGGGUUUUUUUGUUUUGUUUAGUUUUUUGCCUUCUAAAUUUUUAUCACACAUCAAUAGAUAAUUGAUACAGAUGUAAAUGACUGAGAGAGCAUGGAUGUUAGAUACAUAAACCAAAGAAGGGAUGACAUUUAAACUGGGAAAAAUGACCAAGAAAAAAAAAGUGUUAGCCGUGAAGACACUUGGGGGCUGUCCAGGCAGAAGCUAUAGAAAGCACGAACACACCAUUAGAGGUGGUAUGUCAAAGGAAAGGGGUAGGCCAGCAUGGCUUUAUAAACAUAAACAAGGAGAAAAUUAAUAAAAUAUGUCACUGGUGAGAUAAGCAGAUAUCUUAUCCUAUGAGUUACUUUGGCUUUUUUGUGAGGGGUUGGACUAGUUAGGGUUUAAAGGAUAUAAAUUAAAGAGGAUUCACAAUAUUCAAAACCAAAUCAUUUUCUUGGAGUUAAUGACAGCUACUUGUGAAUCUGAUUCAGAACUUUCAAAUCUAUCAAUAAGAUGGCCAGAAGAUUCCUUUGCAGCAUUACAGAGGCAUUCAACUUCAAUAGCACAUUUAAUUCUAAAGAUAAAAGUCUCCAUAGGCUUAUAAUUUAUUUUGAUCAGAAAGACAGCAGUUUCCAGAGGCAUGCUGUGCACUGCUCCUUUUCCCUGACGUAAAGUUUGGCAUCAUCAAAAUGAUCUCGGUGAUGUGAUUAUGGGCGGUGAGGCAGUUGUCGUGGGAUGUAUCAGGCAGUCCCCACUGAGAGCUAUGCAAUCCUUUUUCAGGAGGUUGCUUCUUAUUCAGCACUGUGUCUACACUCAGCUACCUAGAUAUUAAUCCUUGGCAAUUAGAAAAGAAUAAUUAAUGCUUUCCAAAUUUGUCAUAUGACCUGAAAUCAUAUAGCUAGCCUGGCUGAAAGGCUGUAUUUAACCAAUGUAUUUCCAUAGGGAAGCUCUGCAGAGGCUCAGCUGAGGUGUCUGAACGAAACAUCAACGUGGAGUGACUGCAAAGUGAUACAAAUGCCUUAUGAUAAUGGGUUGCCUUGUUUUAUGGUCACAGGACAAAUGCAGAGAUGAAAUGAACUGAUGAACUAUGAAAAUUAAAACCCCAUCUUCUAAGCACCAUUUGUAUAGCUUGAGUGAAGCUUUCUGGUCAGCAGUUCUACAAAUACUCAUUAGAUUUCUACUAGAGCCAGGCACCAGAGGAAAUAAAAAUUUAAAAAGUUCUGUCUCUUUAAAAUCUAGUUGAGGAGAAGCAUGGUAACAGGUAAUUUUUUAAAAAAUGUACUGAGUUUCUGCUGUGGCUCAACAAGUUAAGAACCCAACUAGUAUCUAUGAGAAUGUGCACUCGAUCCCUGGCCUCACUCAGUGGGUUAAGGAUUUUGUGUUGUCGUGAGCUGUGGUAUAGGGAGAAUACCCAACUGGUAUCCCAUGUUGCCAUGGCUGUGGCAUAGGCAGACAGUUGUAGCUCUGAUUUGACCCUUAGACUUGGAAUUUCCAUAUGUCACAGGUGUGGCCCUAAAAAAAUUAAAUUAAAUUAAAAUUUAAAAAAAUAAAAAUAAAUAAAAAUUUAAAACAAUUUUAAAAUGUGCUAUGUAUACUCAUAGAAUUAUAGAUGCAGGUUGCUACCAGUCUAGGAAAAAAUAUUAUUCAUUAGUCCCAGCUUUAAGACACAACAAAAUACAGGUCAAUUUGAAAAAAUUAUCACAUAAUAUUUCUGAAUUUUUUUAGUGUAAUAAGAAUACUGGAUAUACUUUGUAGGUUCAGCAAGAGACUAUCAACCCUGCUACCAGUUUUUAAGAUAAAGUGUUUCCUCCUUAAUCAGCAAUACAGAAAAUCUGUUCUUUGGAUACUAGAAAGAGUUUAAUCUCCAAUUAUGUAUUCUUCAGGCCUUAUCAAAGGCACAGCUGAGAAAAAUGAUAAUUAAGGUAGUUUAAGGGACAUGAGAUAUGUGCUCUAAAAUAAGUGGCCAAAAUUCUUUGACUUAUUAUAUAAUUGGCUUCUACAAGAUAUGAUUCAUUACUAUCAUGCCUCUGAAUAAUAAUCACCAUAUUUCUUUGGGAAAGUAUGGAUCUCAUGAAUAUUUCAGAAAUUGAAUUAUUAAGCAUUAACAAAUAAGUUGUCAACAGCUGAACCAUGAAAUGGUUGGAAAAAUGUAGUUUUCAUUUCUUAAAACUUAAUUUUUGUCAUAUAUUUCCAAGUGAAUAUAUUUAGUAACUAUCUAGAAGAUCCUUUCUAGUAAAACUGAUU
This 4979-nucleotide long non-coding RNA is filed under the name Sus scrofa (pig). RNAcentral describes it as "lncRNA (ENSSSCG00000053055.1)". Lineage: Eukaryota; Metazoa; Chordata; Mammalia; Artiodactyla; Suidae. The record is from RNAcentral.